GUGAGGAAUAUUGCGCAAUGGAGGCAACUCUGACGCAGCCAUGCCGCGUGCAGGAAGAAGGUGCUACGCGUUGUAAACUGCUUUUAACCGGGAAGAAACCCCAGGACGUGUCCUGGGUUGACGGUACCGGAGGAAUAAGCACCGGCUAACUUCGUGCCAGCAGCCGCGGUAAUACGAAGGGUGCAAGCGUUAUCCGGAUUCAUUGGGUUUAAAGGGUGCGUAGGCGGAGCGUUAAGUCAGUGGUGAAAUCCUGCAGCUUAACUGUAGACUUGCCAUUGAUACUGGCGCUCUUGAGUGCGCUUGAAGUGGGCGGAAUGUGCCGUGUAGCGGUGAAAUGCUUAGAUAUGGCACAGAACACCAAUUGCGAAGGCAGCUCACUAAGGCGAUACUGACGCUGAGGCACGAAAGCGUGGGGAUCGAACAGGAUUAGAAACCCUAGUAGUCC
Molecule: ribosomal RNA, 445 nt
Filed under: uncultured bacterium
Lineage: Bacteria
Description: partial 16S ribosomal RNA
Rfam family: Bacterial small subunit ribosomal RNA
Source: RNAcentral